This 659-nucleotide long non-coding RNA is filed under the name Bos grunniens (domestic yak). Its description in RNAcentral is "lncRNA (ENSBGRG00000018288.1)". The record is from RNAcentral. Lineage: Eukaryota; Metazoa; Chordata; Mammalia; Artiodactyla; Bovidae.
AACUCAGCAUUUAAAAACAACCAUACAACUACAAAUCACUAAUUCUUAUUCAGUGAGAUGAAACUGGGCUCUGAAAUUUAAGCCAGUUUCUCAAGAGUUGACCACCUAAGGCAGAAGGCUGCGAAGUUUGCAGGAGAAAAUUAGAAAGUGGGUUUCCCCGGAGCGUUGUGGAGUCAUCAGGCCAAGUGCCACCUACUGUCCAUUUGAAGUCAUCAGGAGGCUUUUGACGAUGACCAAAGCGAAAUAAAGAAAGGGGGAAAAGGAAAGGAGAAAAUUAACCCCCAGCCUUGGGUCCUUGGAAGAAAGAUGCAAAUAGGCCAUCACGAAGCAAAAAUAAGACCACACAGACAGGCUGAGGACAACUUUAUGACCAAGAGCCGAACAAGGUACGUUACACUGGCGCGAUUCGGUGAACAGUGAGGGUCCUCGAAUAGGCCAGGGAGGGGGAAGUCAUUACCCCACGUUAAGAAUUAAACCCAAUUUUAAGUCCGUGUUCGACAGAAAAGUUUGAGGUCUGAACAUUUCCAGCAGGCUGCAAAUCAGGGGAUAUUUCAGAUCCCUGGCAAGCUUAGUAACCUAUCCCGGGGCUUGUCCCAUUUCUGCGGCGCUCGCCAGAAAUCUGCUGCCUUUAUGGGAACACAGGUAACCUCUUUGCCUGG